UCGGUUGAUCCUGCCGGAGGUCACUGCUAUUGGGAUUCGACUAAGCCAUGCGAAUCGAGAGGGUUCGGCCCUCGGCAGACGGCUCAGUAACACGUGGAUAAUCUACCCUCAGGUGGAGGAUAACCUCGGGAAACUGAGAAUAAUACUCCAUAGAUCUAGGAUGCUGGAAUGCACCUAGAUUGAAAGUUCCGACGCCUAAGGAUGAGUCUGCGGACUAUCAGGUAGUAGUCAGGGUAAAGGCCUGACUAGCCUACGACGGAUACGGGUUGUGAGAGCAAUAACCCGGAGACGAUAUCUGAGACACGAUAUCGGGCCCUACGGGGCGCAGCAGGCGCGAAACCUUCACAAUGUGCGAAAGCACGAUGAGGGGAUCCCAAGUGCUUGCUCGUAAGAGUAAGCUGUCUUUAUGUCUAAAAAGCAUAGAGAGUAAGGGCUGGGUAAGACGGGUGCCAGCCGCCGCGGUAAUACCUGCAGCUCAAGUGGUGACCGCUAUUAUUGGGCCUAAAACGUUCGUAGCCGGUUUGGUAAAUGCCUGGGUAAAUCGUGUAGCUUAACUAUACGAAUUCCGGGUAGACUGCCAAACUUGAGACCGGGAGAAGCUAGAGGUACUCCUAGGGUAGAGGUGAAAUUCUGUAAUCCUGGGGGGACCACCAGUGGCGAAGGCGUCUAGCUAGAACGGGUUUGACGGUGAGGAACGAAGCCCUGGGGCGCAAACCGGAUUAGAUACCCGGGUAGUCCAGGGUGUAAACGCUGCUUGCUUGAUGUUAGUUGGGCUCCGAGCCCAAUUAGUGUCGGANAGAANUUGUUAAGCAAGCUGCCUGGGAANUACNAUCGCANNAUUGAAACUUNAAGGAAUUGGNGGGG
RNAcentral lists this ribosomal RNA (864 nucleotides) under uncultured archaeon. RNAcentral describes it as "bacterial SSU rRNA". It matches the Rfam family "Archaeal small subunit ribosomal RNA", at positions 4 to 873 of the family's 1478-position model. The record is from RNAcentral.